Pelobates cultripes (western spadefoot toad) is the source of this 234-nucleotide non-coding RNA. NCBI's taxonomy places the organism in Eukaryota, Metazoa, Chordata, Amphibia, Anura, Pelobatidae. The record is from the annotation of a GenBank genome assembly.
CAGGAAGUCCCGUACGAGCAUCCGGGAUUUCUAAGCAACCUGUUCCUCGUCGCCAAGAAAGGCGGAGGAGUUCGGCCGGUUAUCAAUCGCAAACGACUCAACGGAUUCCUUCGUUACCAUCACUUCAAGAUGGAAGGCAUACAUUGCCUCAGAGAUCUGCUUCAGCAAGGGGAUUGGAUGGUCAAACUAGACCUCAAAGACGCAUACUUGACUAUACCAAUGUCAGAGGAACAC